GAUGAACGCUGGCGGCGUGCCUAAUACAUGCAAGUCGAGCGAACAGACGAGGAGCUUGCUCCUCUGACGUUAUCGGCGGUCGGGUGAUUAACACGUGGAUAACCUACCUAUAAGACUGGGAUAACUUCGGGAAACCGGCGCUAAUACCGGAUAAUAUAUUUAACCGCAUUUUUCAAUAGUGAAAGCCGGUUUUGCUGUCCCUUAUAGAUGGAUCCGCGCCGCAUUAGCUAGUUGGUAAGGUAAAGGCUUACCAAGGCAACUAUGCGUACCCGACAUGAGAGGGUGAUAGGGCACACUUGAAAUGAGAAACGGUCCAGACUGCUGCAGGAGGAAGCGGUAGGGAAACUUCCGCAAAGGGAGAAAGAGUAACGGAGAAAAGACGCGUGAGUGAUGAAAAUCAUCGGAUCGGAAAAAUAGGUAAUUAGGGAAGAACAAAUAUGUAAGUAAUAAGGCAAGUAUUGACGGUACCUAAUCAGAAAGACACGGCUAACUACGUG
Molecule: ribosomal RNA, 497 nt
Filed under: uncultured bacterium
Lineage: Bacteria
Description: partial 16S ribosomal RNA
Rfam family: Bacterial small subunit ribosomal RNA
Source: RNAcentral